Grammomys surdaster is the source of this 847-nucleotide long non-coding RNA. RefSeq lists it as uncharacterized. NCBI's taxonomy places the organism in Eukaryota, Metazoa, Chordata, Mammalia, Rodentia, Muridae. The transcript has 3 exons. The record is from RefSeq and is a predicted model, not a curated record.
AAGAGAAGAUGGCUACAGUACUGCUUCAUUUCCUCCACUCGGGAGCGAAGCCAGACUUCAAAGUUCAAAGGCUUCCCUGAGAAAAGCUGAAGUCGCCUUUAAAGUGGAAAGCCUAGGUGAUUUAAAUGAACAAACCUUCAGGUGGCUCAGAGAAGUAGCUAAGCAACAAGUGAGGCCAGCACCGGGAAGCCCGGCUGCAGCCAGAAGCAGUGACCAGAGAGAGCAAAUGGGGUCUGAUGACGUCAUCUGUCUGAAAAGCCGCUUGUAGCUGCAGGUGUAGGAUAUUUCCUGCUACGUUGUAUUGUAUUUGCAGUGGAGCUCGGUGAUUGGGCAGUAGAAGAGGAUACCAGCAGUCCAGUUCAAUACCAAACACGAAUCAGCAGUGACAGCAUGAUCCAGCGGAAACAGCAAGGCUCUGUGGAAUGGACAGGAGUCAGCGGAAGUGGACAGAAUCACCAUACAUACCUCGAGAAGUUCUUGGUGCAUUUCUGUCUUCAGACUGAAGACCAGCAAAGCGUUGCAUGACACAGGGAUGCAGGAGCGUCCUUUCACUGUCUCUGGGUUCCAUUUAUAGUCUUUCGAAGCACCGCGUGUCCUCUCAAGUGUCUGUUUUCAGCAAAACAUCACAUGCUCUCUCAAAAGACGGCUUCCAGAAAAGCAUCACGUGACACAACUGAGUCGUUAAAGAAACCAGAAAUUUCUACUUCAUAUCCCCCUUUCUGCUUUUUUUUAAAAUGUCUUUUUCUCUAAUAUUAACAAUUUACAGAUAAUAGAUAUAAUUAUGAGAACCAUGAAAUUAGAACUUUACGUCACAGUUUAAAUAAACUGCAUAUAGCCGGGAGGUGGU